Molecule: long non-coding RNA, 668 nt
Organism: Lutra lutra (Eurasian river otter)
Lineage: Eukaryota; Metazoa; Chordata; Mammalia; Carnivora; Mustelidae
Exons: 4
Source: RefSeq, a predicted model, not a curated record
GGAAAGAACGUCCAGUGAAACAACUUGUUGUUCAACAAAAUAGCUCUUGAUUCUGUGAAGAGAAAAACAGCAUCCUCUCUUUAGUGUGAUGAAACUGAACCAGCAAAGAGCUCUCUCUUCCUUCAAGACUCAUCAGUGUGGUUCACUUUUUCAUGAAGCCUUUCCAAAUUUAAGAGAGAAGACACUCUGAGGAGUGCUGUACUUGUAUUUAACAAUCAGCUCUUGGAAAGAGACACAGACGCUGACUUGUAGCACUUGCUUGUCACUGUGCUAUGAAUAGUCCUACCAUGACCAAUUUCAAGCUACCAGAGUGAUGUCACUGAAGACAUAUUGGCACUUGCAGAUCCCUACAGGAAUUGCAUUCCCAAUAGGAGCCAACUUUACUGCUCGGGCAGGAGGAAAGAAGAAUUUCUUCUGACCCCCCAACAAUCUCAGCUGAUAAGAAAACACCACAACUCAGCCAAUGAGAAAUCAUCAUCAUCCUGAACUCUCACUUUCCUUCAAAGCAGUCCCUCCCAACUUCUUCCUUUUUUCUAUAAAGUGACAUUCCUCUCCUUUGAUAUCCAGAAUUGACUACAGCUUGCCAAAGCUUGUUUGUCCCAAAUUAGGAUUCCUCUUCUAUUCCCAGAUAAACCCAUUUUGCUGGUAAAAUGAUUAGCUGUUUUACU